CGCCUACGGGAGGCAGCAGUGGGGAAUAUUGCACAAUGGGGGGAACCCUGAUGCAGCGACGCCGCGUGAGUGAAGAAGUAUCUCGGUACGCAAAGCUCUAUCAGCAGGGAAGAAAAUGACGGUACCUGACUAAGAAGCCCCGGCUAACUACGUGCCAGCAGCCGCGGUAAUACGUAGGGGGCAAGCGUUAUCCGGAUUUACUGGGGGUAAAGGGAGCGUAGACGGCACUGCAAGUCCGGAGUGAAAGCCCAAGGCU
This 256-nucleotide ribosomal RNA is filed under the name uncultured bacterium. RNAcentral describes it as "partial 16S ribosomal RNA". It matches the Rfam family "Bacterial small subunit ribosomal RNA", at positions 336 to 609 of the family's 1533-position model. The record is from RNAcentral.